GAUGAACGCUGGCGGCGUGCCUAAUACAUGCAAGUCGAGCGAACGGACGAGAAGCUUGCUUCUCUGAUGUUAGCGGCGGACGGGUGAGUAACACGUGGAUAACCUACCUAUAAGACUGGGAUAACUUCGGGAAACCGGAGCUAAUACCGGAGGAUAUUUUGAACCGCAUGGUUCAAAAGUGAAAGACGGUCUUGCUGUCACUUAUAGAUGGAUCCGCGCUGCAUUAGCUAGUUGGUAAGGUAACGGCUUACCAAGGCAACGAUGCAUAGCCGACCUGAGAGGGUGAUCGGCCACACUGGAACUGAGACACGGUCCAGACUCCUACGGGAGGCAGCAGUAGGGAAUCUUCCGCAAUGGGCGAAAGCCUGACGGAGCAACGCCGCGUGAGUGAUGAAGGUCUUCGGAUCGUAAAACUCUGUUAUUAGGGAAGAACAUAUGUGUAAGUAACUGUGCACAUCUUGACGGUACCUAAUCAGAAAGCCACGGCUAACUACGUG
This 497-nucleotide ribosomal RNA is filed under the name uncultured bacterium. RNAcentral describes it as "partial 16S ribosomal RNA". It matches the Rfam family "Bacterial small subunit ribosomal RNA", at positions 28 to 507 of the family's 1533-position model. The record is from RNAcentral.